RNAcentral lists this long non-coding RNA (1380 nucleotides) under Sus scrofa (pig). Its description in RNAcentral is "lncRNA (ENSSSCG00005040009.1)". Lineage: Eukaryota; Metazoa; Chordata; Mammalia; Artiodactyla; Suidae. The record is from RNAcentral.
CGGCCGCCUGCAGGGCUCUGCAAGCCGCGGGGCCAGCGCGACCAGAUGGAGCCUGGGAGAGACCUGGCCUCCCAGCUCUGCUGGCGUGCUUUUCCUGGGGUCCUUGGAGCCGGGGGAAGGACCCAGAUGCCAGCCCCCCAGCUGAGGGUGACUGCCAGGACCCCGAGGAGGAGCUGGCACUGACAGCCGUGUAUCCCAACGGAGACUGUGAGGAGACUGGAAAGGGGUCAGGAGCCUGGGAUGGAGUUGCCCCCGCUCCCGCUGAGCCCGCUGGAGACUUGAGAUGAAAGGUGGACCCCUGGCUGCCCGAGCUCUAACCUGCAGACCGGAGGCUGGCUCCUUUCACUGAGCUGCCCAGCCUCCACGUUGACCUUGGGAUGGUGGUAGCUACGAAGGCGCCGCCUGCCGGGAGGCUGUUGCAUUGACAACCAGGCAGAUACCAGCCAGGCCGCAGGACUUACUAAGCUAAGCUGGACCUUGGAAAAUGUACCCUGGGGAACCUGCCCCCCACCUCGUUUUUGCUCACUCUCUGGUCACAGUGGGGUUAUUUUUUUCUCUGUGUGCCUCGAUUUCUCUAUGCCACUGAGACUUGGAAGUUCUGCUGUGCUGUGGCAUCCUGGGGUUGUUUGCAGGAACAUCCAUCAUUUCAAGGGCAGCUGGGCCAGAAGUCAUCAGAUCUGAGAAGGUAGCCGUGGACUUGUCACCUGUCACUCAGCCUUUGGGGCUUCUGUUUCUCAAAGGCGUAAAAGCACUGUCAGCCAAGUGGCUCUCAACUAGGGGCCAGGCUGCCCAUCCUAGCAGCACUGGAAGUGUGUGUGUGUGUGUGUGUGUGUGUGUGUGUGUGUGUGUGGAGAGUCACUGCAACUGUGGGCUACCCCUGGCAUUUCGUGGGCAUCUCACAACGUGCAGGACAGUUCCAGCAGCAUAGAAUUGUUCCACUCAAAAUGCCAAUCGUGGCAACUUUGAGAAACCCUGAAUGAGACAAUCUCCUCCCCAUUAAAAUCUAGGAAGAGUCCCCAGAGCAGAGAGUGUUGGCCUUUCUGGGGCCGUGGCUCCCAGAGCAAGCCAAGACAAAGACACACUGCCACCCCGGGGGCCUGUUGGGCCAGAGCCAAGAUGGUCCACAUGCUGCAGGCCCAGGACAUAACUAGCUUUGCACAUCUAUGAGAAAAAAGGGCCAUCUUUCUUUUUCUUGUUGACAUUGACUUUCUGUGCCAAGUUCUUUGAGAAUAAAGAUGCUAAGAACUGGAGUUCUUGUCAUGGCCCAAUAGAAACGAAACCGACUGGUACCCAUGAGGUUUCAGGUUCGAUCCCUGGCCUCGUGAACUGUGGGGUAGGUCACAGACGCAGCUCAAAACCUGCGUUGCUGUAGCUCGGAGC